This 468-nucleotide ribosomal RNA is filed under the name uncultured bacterium. RNAcentral's name for it is "partial 16S ribosomal RNA". It matches the Rfam family "Bacterial small subunit ribosomal RNA", at positions 28 to 507 of the family's 1533-position model. The record is from RNAcentral.
GACGAACGCUGGCGGCGUGCUUAACACAUGCAAGUCGAACGGAAAGGCCCUGCUUUUGUGGGGUGCUCGAGUGGCGAACGGGUGAGUAGCACGUGAGUAACCUGCCCUUGACUUUGGGAUAACUUCAGGAAACUGGGGCUAAUACCGGAUAGGAGCUCCUGCUGCAUGGUGGGGGUUGGAAAGUUUCGGCGGUUGGGGAUGGACUCGCGGCUUAUCAGCUUGUUGGUGGGGUAGUGGCUUACCAAGGCUUUGACGAGUAGCCGGCCUGAGAGGGUGACAGGCCAAAUUGGGACUGAGAUACGGCCCAGACUCCUACGGGAGGCAGCAGUGGGGAAUAUUGCACAAUGGGCGGAAGCCUGAUGCAGCAACGCCGCGUGCGGGAUGACGGCCUUCGGGUUGUAAACCGCUUUCGCCUGUGACGAAGCGUGAGUGACGGUAAUGGGUAAAGAAGCACCGGCUAACUACGUG